UUUUUUUAUUUCAUUAUUUGAAAGUUUAUCCAUUUAUCUACAAGUUUUGAACAUUGAAAUAUGUCAUUUUUAACUUUAAAUAUUGUUUUUAGUCAUUUUUCUAGAGCAUGUAUAAUGUUUAUUUCAUCUAAUUCCGAAUCUACAUGUAAAUAAUACCCUUGGUAACGCAUUGAAUACUUUUGAGUAGUCAUAUUCGACCUAGGCAUAUUUGGCAUCAAUGAAACCGUCGUUUCUUACACUUUCCUAAAAUAACCGUAUCUCCGAAAUAAUAUAAAUAGCGUUUCGGCUUUGAACGGAAACCCGUGGUCACCGAGAGUGUAAAAUAUAUUUAUUUAUAGUAUCUUAUUAUUUCCGACAAAAUGAUUGGUCGGCAUUGGGCUUCCGCCCCUAUCGACAUUAGUUUGAACAUAAACAAAACAUGGUUGUUUACGUUUCAUUGAUGAUAUAGUUUUAGAUGCUCUACCUGUUGACUUAUUAUUCAACUUCUAAAUCUAGAUCUAGCAUGAAAACUAAAAAGAAUAGACAUUAGUCUAGAUUCGUCAUUCUAGAUCUAGACAUUAUAAGACUAUUAGCCGGCAGGCUAGGCUGAGAUGAGGCCCUAUCGACAUCGCUAUAUUGAUUAUUCAUUCAAAAUUCAUAUUCCCAUCAACAUGAUCAACUAGAUCUAAACAAAAACAUCCUUACCACAUGAUAACUGGUGCCUCUCAAUCAAGUAGGCCUAAAGCCUAUCAAAGCUUGCAAUACACAUGUGAUCUAGAUCUAGCUGGAUUAUCAACAGUUUCACUACUACAAGAUCUGAUCUAGACUUAGACCUAGAUAAUAACUAAUUUUCUUCUCUACAAGUUCUAGUUCUAGUCUAGUUACCACUUUGACAUUCACUUUGGAAACAAGACUCAACUACCCAGGUUCUUCGGCAUUGAUGCAAUCAACUGAAAUUUUAUGGAAAAGAUCAGGGCAGAAGUUUAGACAGAGAUAAACAACCUUGUCUGAUGGAAACACCAGGUUGUUUUUGAGAGUUUUAUGAACAGAUCUGAGCCCCAAGGUAUUGUCGUAAAACAGAACAAUUCGUCGGCCUUACAGGUUUGGAACUACUUGGUUCUCUCCGCAGCCAUGUUUUAUUCUGAAGUAAGGAUAAGAUCAGCCUAGGUGACCUGGGCUAUGGUAAUUCAACUAAGAAUGCUAUAAAAAAACAACCUUUCUACAUGCUAUGCAAUAGCUAUAAGAAAUUAUCAUCAUGUGGACAAAAUAAGAAAUGCCAUUUUAGCCACUAUUCGCCACUGGAUUUCUUCUACCAAACCACAUCACCCAACCGGAGUUUCUUCAUGGUGUUAUUUUAACUUUGCUGACCCACUGGACAAAGUUCCUGUAAAAGUAUUUAAUGUGUUAGCAUUUCUUAAAAUAUGAUUUACUUGCUAAUCUCUUGGAACAUUUGUAUCGGCAGUUGUCAUAUCAAAACCUUUACAGUGGCGCCUCUCGGGAGCCACCCAGAAUGCAAAUGAGACGAUUCACCCAAAAGUAACUAAAGCAAAACAAAAUGUAUCUAAUUUAAAAGAAUAAACUUUUCAGUCCUUGGAUCUGUUGGAAAUUUGGCUUUGGAUUUUUGUAUGACUUAAAAAAUGAUUGCAUGUUUCCAUUACUAUUCAUAAUCAUCAACUUGCAAAAAAUGGGACCUAAAAAAAACCCUGUCAAACU
This is a long non-coding RNA of Biomphalaria glabrata, 1692 nucleotides long. RefSeq lists it as uncharacterized. The transcript is spliced from 2 exons. The record is from RefSeq and is a predicted model, not a curated record. NCBI's taxonomy places the organism in Eukaryota, Metazoa, Mollusca, Gastropoda, Planorbidae.